Molecule: long non-coding RNA, 1078 nt
Filed under: Vombatus ursinus (common wombat)
Lineage: Eukaryota; Metazoa; Chordata; Mammalia; Diprotodontia; Vombatidae
Description: lncRNA (ENSVURG00010003610.1)
Source: RNAcentral
AGCAAUUCAAUAUUAAUAAUAUUGCUUUUCCUUUUCACCCUGAUAUUUUCCAUGUCCUUUGGUUCACAGGUGCCAUCAUGCGGGUUUCAAGUCAUCCAGAGGACGGUGGAAGCCAACUGAAUUCUGAUGACGAAUUCCUUGGGCUUCCUUCGCCAACCUCACCACCUCAGUUUAUCGCCGGACAUUUGGAAGACUUGGAAGAUGCCCUCCUGUGUCCUGACCUUGAACCUGCCUACCAGAAUGAUGACAGUGAAGACCACAGCAGUGAGGACGGUGAUGGUGGCCAUUCUGAUGACAGCAAUGACAAGCAUGACAGCAGGCGUGAUCACAGUGACAAUCACAGCCAGGAUGAUCAUACCAAUGAUGUCUACAGCAACGGCUAUGUCAAACUGCAAGAACAAGGAAUGUGCACAGCUUGCUGUCACCUUUGCAAUGUGCAAACUAAGUUGGAACUCAGCCACAGAAAAGCUGCAGAGAGAAGAGGAAAAGCUGGAGAAGUGAAAGGGAAGGAGCUAGAAGUGCACCCCGAGUGGGUAGCAAGAUGUCAAUGGAAAGAUCGUGAAGCGUUACUUUCAGACUCCCUUUUCGAUGAAGGGGUCACCAUGUCAGUAGCAGGUCUCCCAGAGAGCAGUGGAGAGGAAGCAAGUCCUAAUGAAGGAGGCCUCAUGUCCCCCCGGUUUGUGCCAGGACAAUUGGAAGAUUUGGAAGAUGCCCUUCUGUGUCCCGAGCUCCAACCUGACAUGGAUAUGGAUAUGGAUAAGGAAGAAGAGGGGUUCACUUGGCUGGAUGGGUGCAGCUCGAGCUGCGUCCCAGCUGCACUUCCUUGCCUGACUUUUGCCUUUAUGAGUUGAGCUGGGGGACCCCUGCUGCUUCUUUGUAAUGUCUGGAGGAAGCCCCAGGCAGCCAAUGUGCACUCAGAUUCUAGAGGCUGCCAGUGACCAGUAGAGACAAUGGUGAGGUCACUUUGGACAUUGCAUGUAGGGCUCUCCUCAGAUUCACCCCCUCUUUCUCUCCACCUUUCAUUUUUCCCUAGUUGGGAGCUGAAUGGAAGAGAAGUCCAUCACACUAGGGGAGCCAG